GAUGAGCGCUACGCGGCCGGCCUGCCUAAUACAUGCAAGUCGAACGGGACUGCGCUUGUUGCUCCGCACAAUAGUGGCGAACGGGUGCGUAACGCGUAUGCCACCUACCCAUCACAGGGGGAUAGCCCGGAGAAAUCCGGAUUAACACCGCAUAUGACCAGCAUAUGGCAUCAUCAUCUGGUCAAAUCUGAAGAGGUGAUGGAUGGGCAUGCGUGCCAUUAUCUAGUUGGCGGGGUAACGGCCCACCAGGGCCACUAUGGCUAGGGGAUCUGAGAGGAUUGCCCCCCACACUGGUACUGAGACACAGACCACACUCCUACGGGAGGCAGCAGUAGGGAAUAUUGGUCAAUGGAGGGAACUCUGAACCAGCCGUGCCGCGUGCGAGACCACCGCCCUAUGGGUUGUAAACUGCUUUUGUACGGGAAUAAACGUACCUUCGUGAAGGUAUCUGAAUGUACCGUAAGAAUAGAGAUCGGCUAACUCCGUGCCAGCAGCCGCGGUUAUACAGAAGAUCCGAGCGUUAUCCGGAUUUAUUGGGUUUAAAGGGAGCGUAGGCCGCCCGUUAAGUCGGGGGUGAAAGACGGCCUCUCAUCUGUCACAGUGCCCUUGAUACUGAUGGGCUAAAAUGUAUCAGAUGUAGGCAGAAUGAGACAAGUAGCGGAGAAAUGCAUAGAUAUGUCACAGAACCCCUAUCGAAAGCGCAGCUUGCUAAACUAUGAUAGACUGCUGACGCUCAAAAGCGUGUGUAUCGAACAGGAUUAGAUACUCUGGUUCCUCCACCCCCCUAAACGAUGAUGACUCGAUGUGGGAUAUAUAUUGUCAGUGUCCAAGAGAAAGUGAUAUGUCAUCCACGUGGAGAGUACGCCGCGCAAGGGUGAAACUCAAAGGAAUUGACGGGGGCCCGCACAAGCAGAGGAGCAUGUUGUUUAAUUCGGUUAUACGCGAGGCACCUUACCCGGGCUUGAAAGUUAGUGAAGGGUGCAGAGACGCACCUCUCCUUCGGGACAGGAAAAUAGGUGGUGCAUGGGUGUUGUCAGCUUGUGCCGUGAGGUGUUGGGUUAAGUCCCGCAAAGAGCGCAACCCCUAUGUAUAGUUGCCAGCAUUUAAGGUGGGGACUAUAGACAGACUCCCCGCGCAAGGGGAGAGGAAGGAUGGGAAGAUGUCAAGUUAUCAUGCCCCUUAUGUCGGGGGCUACACACGUGCUACAAUGGUCGGUACAGAGGGCCGCUACCCGGCAACGGGGUGCCAAUCUCAAAAAGCCGAUCACAGUUAGGAUGGGGGCCUGCAAGUCGCCCCCGUGAAGUUGGAUUUGCUAGUAAUCGUGUAUCAGCAAUGACGCGGUGAAUACGUUCCCGGGCCUUGUACACACCGCC
Molecule: ribosomal RNA, 1373 nt
Filed under: uncultured bacterium
Lineage: Bacteria
Description: bacterial SSU rRNA
Rfam family: Bacterial small subunit ribosomal RNA
Source: RNAcentral